GGAGAGGUGCUUGAGUUGGUUGAAAAGGGCCGCCUGCUAAGCGGUUAGGCGGGUGUAAGCUUGCCUCGAGGGUUCGAAUCCCUCCCUCUCCGCCA
RNAcentral lists this transfer RNA (95 nucleotides) under Clostridia bacterium. Its description in RNAcentral is "tRNA-Ser". It matches the Rfam family "tRNA". From Rfam's summary of the family: Transfer RNA (tRNA) molecules are approximately 80 nucleotides in length. Their secondary structure includes four short double-helical elements and three loops (D, anti-codon, and T loops). Further hydrogen bonds mediate the characteristic L-shaped molecular structure. tRNAs have two regions of fundamental functional importance: the anti-codon, which is responsible for specific mRNA codon recognition, and the 3' end, to which the tRNAs corresponding amino acid is attached (by aminoacyl-tRNA synthetases). tRNAs cope with the degeneracy of the genetic code in two manners: having more than one tRNA (with a specific anti-codon) for a particular amino acid; and 'wobble' base-pairing, i.e. permitting non-standard base-pairing at the 3rd anti-codon position. The record is from RNAcentral. Lineage: Bacteria; Bacillati; Bacillota; Clostridia. RNAcentral also lists the same sequence under 1 other name.